RNAcentral lists this ribosomal RNA (253 nucleotides) under uncultured bacterium. RNAcentral's name for it is "partial 16S ribosomal RNA". It matches the Rfam family "Bacterial small subunit ribosomal RNA", at positions 524 to 776 of the family's 1533-position model. The record is from RNAcentral.
GACGGAGGGUGCUAGCGUUGUUCGGAAUGACUGGGCGUAAAGGGCGCGUAGGCGGCUCGUGAAGUCGGGUGUGAAAGCCCGGGGCUCAACCCCGGAACGGCAUCCGAUACUGGCGGGCUUGAGACCGGGAGAGGAGGGUGGAAUACCCAGUGUAGAGGUGAAAUUCGUAGAUAUUGGGUGGAACACCGGUGGCGAAAGCGGCUCUCUGGCCCGGAUCUGACGCUGAAACGCGAAAGCGUGGGGAGCAAACAGG